GAUGAACGCUGGCGGCGUGCCUAAUACAUGCAAGUCGAGCGAACAGAUGAGGAGCUUGCUCCUCUGACGUUAGCGGCGGACGGGUGAGUAACACGUGGAUAACCUACCUAUAAGACUGGGAUAACUUCGGGAAACCGGAGCUAAUACCGGAUAAUAUAUUGAACCGCAUGGUUCAAUAGUGAAAGACGGUUUUGCUGUCACUUAUAGAUGGAUCCGCGCCGCAUUAGCUAGUUGGUAAGGUAACGGCUUACCAAGGCAACGAUGCGUAGCCGACCUGAGAGGGUGAUCGGCCACACUGGAACUGAGACACGGUCCAGACUCCUACGGGAGGCAGCAGUAGGGAAUCUUCCGCAAUGGGCGAAAGCUUGACGGAGCAACGCCGCGUGAGUGAUGAAGGUCUUCGGAUCAUAAAACUCUGUUAUUAGGGAAGAACAAAUGUGUAAGUAACUAUGCACGUCUUGACGGUACCGAAUCAGAAAGCCACGGCUAACUACGU
This 496-nucleotide ribosomal RNA is filed under the name uncultured bacterium. Its description in RNAcentral is "partial 16S ribosomal RNA". It matches the Rfam family "Bacterial small subunit ribosomal RNA", at positions 28 to 506 of the family's 1533-position model. The record is from RNAcentral.